GACGAACGCUGGCGGCGUGCUUAACACAUGCAAGUCGAACGGAAAGGCCCUGCUUUUGUGGGGUGCUCGAGUGGCGAACGGGUGAGUAACACGUGAGUAACCUGCCCUUGACUUUGGGAUAACUUCAGGAAACUGGGGCUAAUACCGGAUAGGAGCUCCUGCUGCAUGGUGGGGGUUGGAAAGUUUCGGCGGUUGGGGAUGGACUCGCGGCUUAUCAGCUUGUUGGUGGGGUAGUGGUUUACCAAGGGUUUGACGGGUAGCCGGCACGGGAGGGGGACCGGCCACAUGGGGACUGAGAUACGGCCCAGACGCCUACGGGAGGCAGCAGGGGGGAAUAUUGUACAAUGGGCGGAAGCCUGAUGCAGCAACGCCGCGUGCGGGAUGACGGCCUUCGGGUUGUAAACCGCUUUCGCCUGUGACGAAGCGUGAGUGACGGUAAUGGGUAAAGAAGCACCGGCUAACUACGUG
This 468-nucleotide ribosomal RNA is filed under the name uncultured bacterium. Its description in RNAcentral is "partial 16S ribosomal RNA". It matches the Rfam family "Bacterial small subunit ribosomal RNA", at positions 28 to 507 of the family's 1533-position model. The record is from RNAcentral.